RNAcentral lists this ribosomal RNA (218 nucleotides) under uncultured bacterium. Its description in RNAcentral is "partial 16S ribosomal RNA". It matches the Rfam family "Bacterial small subunit ribosomal RNA", at positions 29 to 234 of the family's 1533-position model. The record is from RNAcentral.
AACGAACGCUGGCGGCAUGGCUAAGACAUGCAAGUCGUACGGAACUCGUAGCAAUACGAGUUUAGUGGCGGAAGGGUGAGUAAUAAAUGGGUAACGUACCUUGAACUUGGGAACAACAGUUCGAAAGGACUGCUAAUGCCCAAUGAAGUCGCUGAAUCGCAUGGUUCGACGACCAAAGCCGGGGAUCGCAAGACCUGGCGGGUUUUGUAGCGGCCCGA